RNAcentral lists this ribosomal RNA (301 nucleotides) under uncultured bacterium. Its description in RNAcentral is "partial 16S ribosomal RNA". It matches the Rfam family "Bacterial small subunit ribosomal RNA", at positions 509 to 807 of the family's 1533-position model. The record is from RNAcentral.
CAGCAGCCGCGGUAAUACGUAGGGUGCGAGCGUUAAUCGGAAUUACUGGGCGUAAAGCGUGCGCAGGCGGUUUUGUAAGACAGAGGUGAAAUCCCCGGGCUCAACCUGGGAACUGCCUUUGUGACUGCAAGGCUAGAGUACGGCAGAGGGGGAUGGAAUUCCGCGUGUAGCAGUGAAAUGCGUAGAUAUGCGGAGGAACACCGAUGGCGAAGGCAAUCCCCUGGGCCUGUACUGACGCUCAUGCACGAAAGCGUGGGGAGCAAACAGGAUUAGAUACCCCCGUAGUCCCUGUCUCUUAUAC